This 621-nucleotide ribosomal RNA is filed under the name uncultured bacterium. RNAcentral describes it as "bacterial SSU rRNA". It matches the Rfam family "Bacterial small subunit ribosomal RNA", at positions 556 to 1164 of the family's 1533-position model. The record is from RNAcentral.
GGGCGUAAGGGUGUGUAGGUGGCGUGUUUAGUCUUCUGUUAAAAUCUUGGGCUCAACCCAAGUCUUGCAGAGGAAACGGGCAUGCUAGAGGUUGCGAGGGGUCUAGGGAACUCAUGGAGUAGGGGUGAAAUCCGUUGAUAUCAUGGGGAACACCAAAAGCGAAGGCACUAGACUGGCGCACACCUGACACUGAGACACGAAAGCGUGGGUAGCGAACGGGAUUAGAUACCCCGGUAGUCCACGCCCUAAACGAUCUUCACUAGCUUUCGGGGGAAUCGACCCCCUCGGAGGCGAAGCUAACGCGUUAAGUGAAGCGCCUGGGUAGUACGGCCGCAAGGCUAAAACUCAAAGGAAUAGACGGGGACUUGCACAAGCAGUGGAUUAUGCGGUUCAAUUCGACGACAAACGAAAAACCUUACCAAGGUUAGAAAUCUACACGACGAUAUUUGGAAACAGAUAUCUUCCGCAAGGACGGGUAGACAGGUGAUGCAUGGCCGUCGUCAGUUCGUGAUUUGAAUUGUUCCCUUAAGUGGGGUAACGAACGCAACCCUCGUUGCUAGUUUUAUUUGUCUAGCGAGACUGCCCCCGUUUGUGUGCACAAGAUUUGCGCAUACAAACGGG